Oncorhynchus tshawytscha (Chinook salmon) is the source of this 1395-nucleotide long non-coding RNA. The record is from Ensembl. Lineage: Eukaryota; Metazoa; Chordata; Actinopteri; Salmoniformes; Salmonidae.
CUUAGUGUGUUUGGACCAUUCUAGUUUGUUGUUGUGGUCACCAAGGAAUUUGAAGCUCUCAACCUGCUCCACUGCAGCCCCGUCGAUGAGAAUGGGGGCGUGCUUGGUCCUCCUUUUUCUGUAGUCCACAAUCAUCUCCUUUAUCUUGAUCACAUUGAGGGAAGAGGUUGUUGCUGCUACCAAACACUUAUUAUGCUGUUCAGUUUAGAAUAAAACGUUAUCGUUGAUUCCUGAGAAUGGUCAAAAUAUUUUUUGCCCAAAAAACUGUGGUAAACUAAAUGUGUAAUAAUCUCCAUGAUAUUCUAGAUAAAGGAAACCGUAAUGUUGGUUUAAUCUUUAAUACAACCCAGUACCUUACAGCCAACUCAUCACAGUCAUAUAGUCAUUGAAAGGUAUAGCUAUGGUAGGUAGGUAGGUAGGUAGGUAGGUAGGUAGGUAGGUAGAGAGGUAUAGCUAUGGUAGGUAGGUAGGUAGAGAGAGAGAGAGGUAUAGCUAUGGUAGGUAGAGAGAGAGAGAGGUAUAGCUAUGGUAGGUAGAGAGAGAGAGGUAUAGCUAUGGUAGGUAGAGAGAGAGAGAGGUAUAGCUAUGGUAGAUAGAGAGAGAGAGGUAUAGCUAUGGUAGAUAGAGAGAGAGAGGUAUAGCUAUGGUAGGUAGAGAGAGAGAGAGGUAUAGCUAUGGUAGGUAGAGAGAGAGAGGUAUAGCUAUGGUAGAUAGAGAGAGAGAGGUAUAGCUAUGGUAGGUAGAGAGAGAGGUAUAGCUAUGGUAGGUAGGUAGAGAGAGGUGUAGCUAUGGUAGGUAGGUAGAGAGAGGUAUAGCUAUGGUAGGUAUAGAGAGUUGUAGCUGGAGCUAAACUGCAACAUCCUGCUAAUUGACCCAUAAAGGAUCUACAAUAGAAGAAGUGAUGUUAUUGGAGCCAGAAGCAGACAGUCAGCACAGCCAGUCGGCUACAGAUCGGGACAUGCACAGCCAUUUAAUAGUUACAUUUGGUGCAUUAUAACCGUGUUCAAGUGUUAAGGUGAACCCCCCCCAUCCCCCUCACUUUGAACACAACUUCCCCUGUACUGCUGUUUGGAAGCAGGCGGAGACUCAGGGAGCAUUGAGUACACCAGGGCCUGGGUUUUGAAAACCUUAAGAAAUGUUUUGUAAAUCCAGGCACUGCAACUUUGGUAUUAGGUAAGAGAAUGGCACAAGGCUGGCUUGAGCAACGAAAGGAAACGAUGUGCAACAACUAGACAGAGACAUGUCCUGAGAAACAGUGUGUGGGCCAUCCUGCCGACUUCAACACGCAUUGUUAGCUUAGCAGACCUGGGACCAGGCAACCAGAGGCAGACCUGGGACCAGGCAACCAGAGGCAGACCUGGGACCAGGCAACCAGAGGCAGACCUGGGACCAGGC